This 205-nucleotide ribosomal RNA is filed under the name uncultured bacterium. RNAcentral describes it as "partial 16S ribosomal RNA". It matches the Rfam family "Bacterial small subunit ribosomal RNA", at positions 1288 to 1500 of the family's 1533-position model. The record is from RNAcentral.
UCAGUUCGGAUCGGAGUCUGNAACCCGACUCCGUGAAGCUGGAUUCGCUAGUAAUCGCGCAUCAGCCAUGGCGCGGUGAAUACGUUCCCGGGCCUUGUACACACCGCCCGUCAAGCCAUGGGAGCCGGGGGUGCUUGAAGUGCGUCGCCGCAAGGCGCGCCCUAGAGCAAAACCGGUGACUGGGGCUAAGUCGUAACAAGGUAUC